This is a non-coding RNA of Trichonephila clavata, 73 nucleotides long. Lineage: Eukaryota; Metazoa; Arthropoda; Arachnida; Araneae; Nephilidae. The record is from the annotation of a GenBank genome assembly.
GUCCCUGUAGCAGAAUGGAUAGCGCGUUGGAUUUCUACUCCAAAGGUCUUUGGUUCGAAGCCCAACAGGGAUG